Molecule: long non-coding RNA, 1443 nt
Organism: Toxorhynchites rutilus septentrionalis
Lineage: Eukaryota; Metazoa; Arthropoda; Insecta; Diptera; Culicidae
Exons: 5
Source: RefSeq, a predicted model, not a curated record
CCUAGCCGGGAAUCAAUCAACAAACUUCCUGUAAGCCAUUGAGGAGCACGUCUUACCUUAACGCCGUCGAUUAUGAGAAAGAGGAACAAUGAUGGCGGCGCUUUCUGUGCUCGACGGAAUGGGUUGUCGCUGACGCAGUCGACUACCGCUUGUCGAUUGAAAGCAGCGUAAUGUAUGCGUUGAUCAUUAAGUUGCUGUAACACUAUUUGUGCAGUAAGUACACUCACACAUCUUCCCCCUUCUCAAAAAAAGUCUAACAUCCCAUGAAUAAAAAUGUUGUAAUGCUUAUGAAUAAAACAUGCUAUAACAUACCAUGAAUAAAAUUAUUAUUUUCGAAUGAAUUUUCGUUUGAUAAUUUAAUUGCUAGAGUAUUUUCCGUGUCAUAAAGUUUGUACAUAUGAAUAAAUCAGUCACUAGGCGACAUAUUCAAUGCACCUAGUCACAGGGGUAGCCAAAUGAUCUGACGUUUCGUAUUCGUUUCAUGGAUAUCAGAUUUGGGGAUUUAUAAGCAAACAACUGCUUCUGUGCAACGGAAAAUAGGAAAAUAAAAAACGAUUACAAGGAACUACAUCAUUGCAAUUUUCAUAGCUACCGGUUGUAUAUAAUCCUGAAGAUGAACUGGCAUUUUCCUAAUGCGGGGAAUUCGUUCAGAUGAAUCAGCCGGAACGGAAGGAUCGUCUUCAAACGAUUUCUCUUUCUGCCACUCAGAGACCUUCUUAACUUUCGUGACGUGGCGCUUCAUUAUGUGCCCAUCUCCAUUGCUGAGGCUCCUGCAGGUUCCUGGCGUAAAUAAGGAUGUCAUCGAUGUAGACGAUAACGUUCUCAACAUCCUUAAGAAUUCGUGUCAUCUCUCGCUGGAAAAUUUCAGGUGCACAAUUUACACCGAACAUGAGCCUUUUGAAGCGGUACAUACCAUUCUCGGUAAGAAAGGUCGUCAGGUCCCGCGACUCGUUGCUAAGCUCGAGGUGGUAAAACGCAUUACUCAAAUCCAGUUUUGUAUAAAACUUGGAACCGUAGAGUUUCACCUUCAUCUCUUCCAGUAGAGCAGACAUGCCGCUUAUCCAAUUUGGAGCCGAUGUAACCUUCUCGAUAAUGCCACGCUUUUCCAUUUCUUCUAAUCGUUGUCUUGCUGCUUCACGAUAUGCCGCGGGUACAUUAUAAUAAGCAUUCUUCACUGUAGAUGAAAUCUCCAUAUUAUUGAGAUUCAGUCCUAUGUGCAGUAAUCCAAUAUCACUUGAAGUAGCUCGACCUAGAAGUGACCUCAACCCUUUAGGGACAACGUGAAAAGUUGCAGGCAUGACCCGUCCGUUGUAUCCAACUACAGCAAUGUCAGCCUCCAGUAAGCAUUCGACAAACAUGGGUGAUGUUGUACCGUACGCAUGCAGACCUUUCAAACUUGUAUUAUCGAGAAUUUUGAACUUUGCUUUGCCUAACUUGAACUCC